GUGAGGAAUAUUGCGCAAUGGAGGCAACUCUGACGCAGCCAUGCCGCGUGCAGGAAGAAGGCGCUACGCGUUGUAAACUGCUUUUAACCGGGAAGAAACCCCAGGACGUGUCCUGGGUUGACGGUACCGGAGGAAUAAGCACCGGCUAACUUCGUGCCAGCAGCCGCGGUAAUACGAAGGGUGCAAGCGUUAUCCGGAUUCAUUGGGUUUAAAGGGUGCGUAGGCGGAGCGUUAAGUCAGUGGUGAAAUCCUGCAGCUUAACUGUAGACUUGCCAUUGAUACUGGCGCUCUUGAGUGCGCUUGAAGUGGGCGGAAUGUGCCGUGUAGCGGUGAAAUGCUUAGAUAUGGCACAGAACACCAAUUGCGAGGGCAGCUCACUAAGGCGAUACUGACGCUGAGGCACGAAAGCGUGGGGAUCGAACAGGAUUAGAAACCCCAGUAGUCC
This 445-nucleotide ribosomal RNA is filed under the name uncultured bacterium. RNAcentral's name for it is "partial 16S ribosomal RNA". It matches the Rfam family "Bacterial small subunit ribosomal RNA", at positions 354 to 796 of the family's 1533-position model. The record is from RNAcentral.